RNAcentral lists this long non-coding RNA (5208 nucleotides) under Sus scrofa (pig). RNAcentral's name for it is "lncRNA (ENSSSCG00000058900.1)". The record is from RNAcentral. Lineage: Eukaryota; Metazoa; Chordata; Mammalia; Artiodactyla; Suidae.
AACCACUGAUUUCCCCCAUGCUGACCUUCCCUGCCCUGCCGAGCUUUGCUUUAGUUCUGUGCAUUUAGCAUCUGUAAAAGUUCUCAUCUCCUCUGGCUUAUUUGUGAUUUCCUUUAAGCUUUCCCUUUCUCUGCAUUCGUAGGACCUCUAAAACCAUCUGUGUUUUUUGAGGUUUUUUAUCUGUUUUGUUUCCCUCUGAGCACAGGAACUCACAUGAGCCUAGAGCUCAGAGGACCCACUUGAGGUGUAACUAGGCUCCUGUAUCGUAGCUCAGAAGCACUCUGUUCAUGUUGAAUGGCCUUGAAACAGAGGGUAUGUUCAGUGAGUAUUUGGGUGUAUAAAUCAGGAGCACAAGAAAAAGUUUGCACAAGGCUACAAAGAAAAUAUAGUUAUCCUCUGAAAUGCCAGAGGAAAAAACGUAAUGAGCUUUUGAUGGAGUUCCCAAUGUAGCUCAGUGGUAAUGAACCCGACUAGUAUCCAUGCUGAUGUGGGUUCAAUCCCUGGCCUUGUUCAGUGGGUUAAGGAUCCAGUGUGGCCAUGAGCUAUAGCGAGGGUCAUAGAUGCAGCUCUGAUAUGGUGUUGCUGUGGCCGAUGUAGCUCCAUUUCAACCCUUAGCCUGGGAAUUUCCAUAUGACUUGGGUUCGGGCCUAACAAAAAGACAAAACAAACAAAAAACCAUAGUGAGCUUUUGAAAAGAACUCCAGUCUCCACAGCGCUCCCGGCAUAUCUCUAUCCUGUGUCCUGGGUUCUUCCCGGAGAUAACUUAUUACUGUCCACUGGGGUGCUCAGUUACCUUCCUAAACCAAGGUGAGGAAAAUGCUGUUUCCCUUUGGUUCAACUGGAACAUACCUAAACUUUCAAAAAGAAUAUUAAGAGGAUCUUUAAGACAAAGUACCUGGAUAUGCUAAUAUAGAGUACAAACGUGUCCUGACGACUAAAAUCUAGCCAUAAAUUGGCUUGACUGGUACUAUGGGGUACCAAUCUCGGCACAUUCUAAAGCAGUAAUUCUCGAAAGGGGUGAUUUUGCCCAUCAUUGGACAUUUGGUAAACAUCUGGAAACAUUUUUGUUGAUCAUAGCUAUAAGCGGGGAUGUUACUGGCAUUUAGUUGGUAGAGAGCAGAGUUCCUGCUAAAUAUCCUGUACAAGACAGCCACCUACAAGAAGGAAUGAUCACAGUAUCAUUCCUACAAUGUCAGUAGUGCUGAGGUUGAGAAACUCUGGCAUAAGGAGAUGUGUGAGAAGACUGGUGUUUGAUUUCAGUUUGUAUAUCUGGGUUUUGUUGUUGUUUUGGUUUGGUUUGGUUUUUUUGGCUGCCCUCAAAGCAUAUGGAAAUUCCUGGGCCAGGGAUCAAAUCCAAGCCACUGUUUCAACCUACCCCACAACCGCAGCAAUGGCAGAUACUUAGCUCAAUUCGCCCCUCCAGGGAUCAAACCUGCACCUCCAUGGAGACAAGUAGAAUCAUUAACACACUGUGCCACAGCGGGAACUCCUAAAAUCUGUUCUAAUUCAAUAUAACCAGAAUCUUUUCAGCCUGACAACCCAAUUCCCCUAUCAGUGGGAAUUCCAACUCCUAAUUUUCUGUGCAGAGAAAAUAAACCACUGAUUGAAACUUUAUUGGAGUUCUCUCAUGGCUCAGCAGGUUAAGGAUCCAGAAUUGUCACCACUGUGGCUAUGGUUAUAGCUGUGAUGUGAUGUGGGUUUGAUCCCUGGCCCCAAGAACUUCCACAUGCCCUGGGAAUGGCCAAAAACAAAACAAAACAAAAAACUUGUUUAAUUUAGAGACCUGGCUUUCUCUACCUCCCCAGUUCUCUUUGAUUAUUUAGAUGUCCCUAAGAGGAAAGCAUUGCAGACUUCCAUCACUAGUUUUUAACUAAAAAUAAUGUAAAAAAUCCCUUAAAGAGGUCCCUAACCAGUAUUUAUUUAGAACCUAUUGAAUGUCUAAUAGUCUGCAAAGAACCAAAGAGAAAUUUUUUUUUUCCUGCAGCAAAUGGAAGUUCCCAGACUGAAGGUCAAAUUGGAGCCGCAGCUGCCAGCCUACCACAGCCACAGCAAUGCCGUAUCUGAGCCGCAUCUGUGACCUGCACCACAGCUCAUGGCAAUGCCAGAUCCUUAACCCAAUGAUCGAGGCCAGAGAUGGAACCUGCAUCUCAUGGAUGCUAGUUGGAUUCUUAACUGGCUGAACUACAAUGGGAAUUCUGAGAAUUUUUUUAGUGUCAUCUUCACUAAUUUUGUUUUUUUGUUUGUUUGUUUUGUUUUUGUUUUGUUUUUUGUUUUUCUUCUUACCUUUUCUAGGGCCGCUCCUGGGGUAUACGGAGGUUCCCAGGCUAGAGGUUGAAUCAGAGCUGUAGCUGCCGGCCUACAUCACAGCCACAGCAACUUGGGAUCUUAGCCGUGUCUGCAACCUACACCACAGCUCAUGGCAACUCGGGAUCCUUAACCCACUGAACAAGGCUAGGGAUCAAACCUGCAACCUCAUGGUUCCUAGUCAGAUUUGUUAACCACUGUAACCACUGUGCCACGACGGGAACUCCAUCUUCACUAAUUUUAUAUUACUGUUUUGUCUUCAACUCAUUUGGAAGCCCUCUCAAGGAGCAACUGCGUGAAAUUUGAAAAACGCUGUAAAGGUAUUAAAGAUAUCGUUCACUACAUCACUUACAAUGUAUUCUAUGAUGUCCCCACACUAAAAAAAACUUUCUUUUAGGGUUAAGUUAGGGGAAAGUUUGAGUUGGUUUGGUUUCCUCUUUUCUAAUGAAAUUUAAACAAAUUUUCCUUUAAGCUACGGCUACCAGUAAACUCAGCAAAAUUCCAAUUAUACAAACGGUGACCUUUGUCCUACCUCUUUAUCCCCCGCCCCUUGUUUUGUUGUUGAAAUCGAUUUCAAAUCCUGUGUAAGAGGGAAGGUUGGGCAAGAAAAAGGAAUCAAGAGGUAGAAAAAUGUUUAUGCAAUUGAAGAGUAUAGAAAUAAAUGGACAUGGAAAAAUAACUAGAGAAAAUCAUGUGUCUUAAAAAUUGAGUGCCAGGAAGUGUCAUAUUGUUCAUAAUUACUGGUGCCACAGCAUUUUAAAACAUGAGUGAGUUAUCAUGAAUUCUAAAUCCUAGAACAUGUGGAAUAAAAUGGCCGCAAAGGCGAUGUGUUCAUUGGUGAGGAGGAAGGAAGAUGAGCUUUGCUUCUGAAAGUGAGAACCAUAUGGAUACAUGUUUAAAGGACAGUGAGCAGGUCUGGUGAGAUGGGAGAUCCACACUGGGUAUGUAUAUGUAUUCGUGUGUAUCUAUAUAAGAGAGAGAGAGAGAUGGAUAGACGGUUGUAGUAAAGAACCUUGAAAGCUAUGGAAAAACAUUUUUUUUUUUUUUAAGGGCCACACCUGGGCAUAUGGAAGUUCCCAGGCUAGGGGUUGAAUUGGACCUGCAGCUAGAGGCCUCUGUUGCAGCCAUAGCCACGCUACAUCCUAGUGGCAUCUAUGAAACUGCAGCUCGCGGCAACACCAGAUCCUUAAACCACUGAGCGAGGCCAGGGAUCAAACCUGCAACCUCAUGGACUCUAUGUCAGGUUCUUAGCUCACUGAGCCACAACAGGAACUCCCCCCCACACACUUGUAAGGCUAGAAAUACAACCUCUUAUUUUAAAAAAUAAGAGACAGAGACAUUCCCCCCAGACUCUGGAAUUAAUUCUCCCCCACUGCUAGUAGGGUCUCGAAGGCAGAAUUCCUUUACUCAGGGCUCUUUCUGCUGUGCCACAUUAGCUCUCAAAAUUUUGCUUGAGAGUAGAAAGCUGUUGUAGGUGUAUAAACUAGGGAGCAUUUUUGAAAGCGUGGCAACAUGGGCGACAAGCUGUGAAGAGAAAGAACCAAAGAGUCUUUACUUGUCAAGAAGGAAGUCAUUACUGAGGAAACAACAAGCUGGCUGGUUAGGAAACCCUCUCAAUGCCCAACUGCACUGUUGUUAUAGUUCUUACAUUGCAAAAGGCAACAUUAGUAUACAAAGUCCCCAUUUAGCAGGAUUGAUGUCUUUCUGGAAAGGAUUAUGAAUUUUCCACCUGAAUGGUGCCUGUCUCACCUGACUUGGAGGACCGCUGGUUUCUUUUCCUACAUUACUUCCUAUCCAGAAGUCGGACAAACUAGAUAUUGAUAAUAGGAAUUUACAUAAAGCGUUUUCUUAGGAGCAAGCUCUCCAAUGUAUUGAAUAGAGGAUUCUCUUAAGAAGUCAUUUUUCCAAUGUAUAGAAUGUGUGAUUCCAUAUCAUCGCUACUUUUUAGGAAAAAUGAAAGGCACUGAAAGCUGCCUUUCCCCACAUUUCAGAGAGUGAGUUUUAUGAGUGCGUUUAAAUAGUAUGGGUUUAAUGCUUAUGUUUAUUACUGGAUACAAAAUAUUUCGGGGGAAACUUUCAUUGAAUCAGUCACUGAAACAAGAAAGUUAAGGCACUUUUGUAGUUUUUCACUUCCAUAAUGAAACUUUUUCUCCCAAGAAAUACAAACUUGACAGCUUGAAGUUUUUGUGGCAAAACUUCAAAAGACCUACUCUUAGGUCAAUAGGAAUAAAAUAGUUUUGAAGCACUAAGAUUAAAAGGUACUGUAAUAUCUUCUCAAAAGCUUAAAAAUACUCUGUCAUAUUCAUGUUUACACAGUAGUGUAUCGGCUUUUAUUCAAGAUAGUAUUCUUGCUUCACUGAGGUAAAUGUGUUUUAUAUAAAGUUGUGAGAAUGCCUGCCAUGUUUCCUCUGUCUCUUCUGGGUUCUGAGACUUACUUGGUGCACAAAACCAUGUAGACUUUCUGGCUAUCAUCUUUCCAGGUAGAUUUUUACAGAUAAGAAUGUAAUAUUUUUGAAUAAACAAAAUUUGUAAAGAAAUUUCAGAACACCUUGGAGACCCUCAAGAUUCCCUAGCAGACCACCAGCACUGUGAGGGGGCGGGGUGUGAGACCAACACCAGGAUACCACCCUCCAUCCAACCUCAGGACAGUGGCUCCUGCAUGGACUCAAGGUACCAGACUUCAGGCUUCCCAGUUCUCAGACCUCAGACUCUUGUUUGUACCUAUAUCUAAGGGGACAGCUACAAGAAUAAAUCAUCCGACACCAAGAAAUUUGCAACAACCACGUCACUCCCUCACCUUGCCUUUCGAAGGGCUUUGCUGAAAGCCUUCAGGGAGUUCAGGGCAUUUUAAAGCACAAGCCACCCAUUUCUUUGCAUGGCCCUGCAGUAAACCCUUCUCUGCUC